RNAcentral lists this long non-coding RNA (3549 nucleotides) under Homo sapiens (human). RNAcentral describes it as "HSALNT0210358". The record is from RNAcentral. Lineage: Eukaryota; Metazoa; Chordata; Mammalia; Primates; Hominidae.
GUUAUGAUCAACUCAGUAUACCACUGGAGGCUACAGGAGCAAACAGCAAACUGUUUCUCAUGAAAGCAGGAUGUUCAAAGCAGGAUGUUGGCAAAAUGACAAACUGCAUCUGCCACCCAGAAGGAAUGCUGAGGGCAGUCAUGCCCCAAGUGCAGUGUUUUUGUGAUUAGGCACAACUGAAGCUUGUUAGCAAUAAUAUGACCCUGUGAUUAAUUGAGCGGCUGACCAAUCAUUACCUCCUCCUCCCUGCUCUUUCUACCCAAUAAAUACAAAGGGCUGUGGAAGCUCAAUGGGCUGCCUUUGCUCAUUAGAAGCAGGGAGCUCUCUUCUUCUUCCCCUGGAUCCUUCCUUUAAAAUAGUUUCUUUUGUCUUAAGUUUUCAUUUCUACGUUUGUCCCUUCAUUCAGUCUCUUAAAUGACGGUCUCAAGCAGUAACAGUAGUAAUUGCUGUAAUGACGGUCUCAAGUAGUAACCAGGGCACUCUGCCACAAGUGGCACCUGAACAGGGACUAACAGGGACUAUCAAGAACAAACGGAGACCUGAAGAGACCUGAAGGGAACUGAAGAGGUCUGCAGGGACAAAUAGAGAUAAGUAGGGAUAAAUAGAGAUAAAUAGAGACAAAUAGAGAUAGGUAAGGAAUGACAGGGACUUGCAGGAAGUAACAGGGACCAUAGGGACAGAUAGGGAUAGAUAAAGACUAGCAAAGACUAGCCGAGAUUAGCAAAGACCAGCAAGGACUAGCAGAGACUAGCAAAGACUAGCAGAAACUUGCAGGGACAGGCAGAGACAGAUAGGGACAGAUAGGGUCCUACAGGGACUUGAACGAGGAAGAUCUGCUGGAAAAGAAAAGAACUACAACCAACCAGAUGAACAAGAAACCCUGUUACAAGUCUGCUGGCAGCAACAUAAGGGUAUGCUUGUUUUUGCAGGAAAUGAACAAAAAGUGUGGGUGCCCCCAAGGUGUGUACUACCAUGGAAUGGGAGAUUGGAGGGACACAUGGAUCCCAACCGUGGGCCUGGUUCCCCCAGUAUGAGCUGAAUACGAAGACAGAACAAACCACCAACCGGCAAUUGAAGUAAAUGAUAGCUCCUUACAAAUACAGAGGACAAAAUAAAAGUGACUUAAUUAUAAAAACACAGUGACACAAAGUGAACCGGGUUCUAUAAAUUACCAUGGAAAGUGGUGAGCCAACGAUUUGGCAGAACAAAACCCUGAGGAUAUGCAAACAAAAGGGACUAUGGAAUUUGCAAUUGCAGAUUAAAAUUGAAGAAGAAAACAUUUGAGUUGCAAAUACCGUAUUAAAAGUGGACACUGCUUAUGACUGCUGUAUGCAACAGUUUUUCAGGCCCGAGGUGAUAAAUAAAAAAUUGUUUGCUCUAUUUAACCAUUGAAUGCUUGGACUACUUUUGUAUCCUUAAGAUGUGAAGUGUUCUUCACUAGAAGUAAACAUUAAGGUCAUUUACCAUUGAUUGCUUAAGGCUAGUAAAUACGUUUAAGGAGUUUUAAAGCUUUACUUUGGGAGAAGUCAGGACCAGACAGCUUAAUAAAGCCACUCUGUGUGGGACCAUGACUAAGUUUUGUUGUGUUUACAGACAUUUUGUCACAGAAUCAAAGUUAACUUUUUUUUUUAAUUCUCUUUGCCACAGAGGAACCCAGACAUGCUCUAUUUGCAAACCGACUGCAUGAAACAAAAAGCACGGUAAUUCUGAAGCUGUUGGCUUGGAUGAAAUGAGAAUGUAAUUAAAAAGAAAAAGGUUAGCAAAAGAACAUGCUGGGAAUUGAAAAUAAAAAUCUGAAAUGAUGUCCCAGCCUGCCCUUAAGGUCUUUUCCACCAUGUAGAGAGCUACCUCAAAUGCUCUACUUGUCCCAGAGUCUAUGUUCUUUCACUACUAUUGCCUAUAUCUGUGUUUUCUGCUUUCAAUAAUCUAUUGAAAUAAUCAAAAUUAAUUACAUUCAGCAUUUUUUCUGUAUUACUCUGAUUCUAAUAAUUACCUCAAAUUUAUUUGUGCAUUUCUAUACUAGAAAGAAAAAAUAAUUUUUAGAGUUUUACUAUAUCUUCCCCUUAAUUCUAAGUUGCUUGUCACUAAUUCCUUUCCCAACACUAUGUUAUUUCCACCAAGAACAUUACCAAUAUCUUCAGGAAAAUUCCACCCCAUAUUUUAAGCCAGAUUGAUUAUUGGGAAUAUAAAUACAUUUAAGAAGGAAAGUCUUUUUGACUGUGUUUCUCCACAGACCAAUAGUAUACAAAACACAGAAGGCUUUUAAGCACAUUUCAUAGGGAUCACUGACUUAGAACAGAAGGAACCAUUUCGUGAAACACUCUCAUUUUGCACAUAAAGGAGCUGUGGCCCACAGAGGAAUAUGAUUUACUGAGAGUGACCCAGUUAGUGGCCAUAAACCAAAAGCCCCAAGAUGCUAAAUGUUUGUUAUGAAGAGUAAAAAUCCUCCCAGUUUAUAAGAAGUAACUUCAUCCUUCCAUUUUCUAUUUCCACGAUGACUCCCCUGGCUUAAAUUUUAAUCUCUAUUUUGGAUGACUCCAAAAUCUCAUUCUUCUAAAUUAAUUAUCUAAUACCACAAUGUUGCACUUAUCUUCCUACAAAUCUACUUUCAUCUGCCUUGACAAAGCCAACCCUAAUUUUCUCUAGUCCUCAUUAGAAAUUAUUGCAACAAAAAUUCACAUCCAGUCUGAAGUUUGGGAGCCAGAAAAGAAUUUUCCCAUUAAGAUGAGACAGUAUCAAUUAUUAAGCAGAGGAAGACACAAGAGGGAAAGCAGCUUUCACAUGAAAAAAAAAGAACUCUGAUUUUCUGACACAUUUUGUCAUUGCAGUCAAACUUUCAGAGUUAGAACUAGAGACCUAGAUAUUAGCUAACCCAGCAUUUUCCAAGUAUUCCUCGGAACUCUAGAGGCACAGCAUAGUACUGGUAAUGAUUUUGUGGCAGGAUAGAUUAAGGAAACCUCACAGUUAUACCAAGUUAAAUUCAUUUAUUUCAUGUAAAAUUCUGAUAGCCUUUUAUGCUACUAGGCCUAGUGAUACUCCAAAAUUAUUGGCCAUAUAUCUGAAAUUUAUUUCAGCAAGAAACCCUUUAAAGAGCAUCCCGCAGAGUUAGUGUUUUGAGGGAUAUCAUUGGGGAAAAUGCUGAUCUAGACCAAUUCAACAAAUUGUAACUUAGUUAACACCAGAGUCAAAACAAAAACCAAGUCUACUCAUGUCUGUCUUAGGCCCUUUUGGUCACAAAAACACGUUCAAACCACUUCAAUUAAGAAAAUGGUGAGAGGGGAAAAGACAAGCAGGGAACCUUAUCCCAGGUGGGCUGAUCACAGGACUUCCAAGGCUGUCCCUUAGAAGAGUCACGAUAAUGGCAUCUCUAGCACAAAACUCAAAUUUAGUUUUAAUUCUUAGUCGAAUAAUAAUACAGUAAAAUUUAUUGCAUGCAUAAGGAUAAUACAUUAAAACUACUUAAAUUACAUUUUAGGGCCGGGCGCGGUGGCUCACGCCUGUAAUCCCAGCACUUUGGGAGGCCGAGGCGGGUGGAUCACGAGGUCAGGA